UCCUCCCUCUGGCGGCGUGCUUAACACAUGCAAGUCGAACGGAAAGGCCCUGCUUUUGUGGGGUGCUCGAGUGGCGAACGGGUGAGUAACACGUGAGUAACCUGCCCUUGACUUUGGGAUAACUUCAGGAAACUGGGGCUCAUACCGGAUAGGAGCUCCUGCUGCAUGGUGGGGGUUGGAAAGUUUCGGCGGUUGGGGAUGGACUCGCGGCUUAUCAGCUUGUUGGUGGGGUAGUGGCUUACCAAGGCUUUGACGGGUAGCCGGCCUGAGAGGGUGACCGGCCACAUUGGGACUGAGAUACGGCCCAGACUCCUACGGGAGGCAGCAGUGGGGAAUAUUGCACAAUGGGCGGAAGCCUGAUGCAGCAACGCCGCGUGCGGGAUGACGGCCUUCGGGUUGUAAACCGCUUUCGCCUGUGACGAAGCGUGAGUGACGGUAAUGGGUAAAGAAGCACCGGCUAACUACGUG
Molecule: ribosomal RNA, 468 nt
Filed under: uncultured bacterium
Lineage: Bacteria
Description: partial 16S ribosomal RNA
Rfam family: Bacterial small subunit ribosomal RNA
Source: RNAcentral